This 253-nucleotide ribosomal RNA is filed under the name uncultured bacterium. RNAcentral's name for it is "partial 16S ribosomal RNA". It matches the Rfam family "Bacterial small subunit ribosomal RNA", at positions 524 to 776 of the family's 1533-position model. The record is from RNAcentral.
UACAGAGGUGGCAAGCGUUGUUCGGAAUUACUGGGCGUAAAGGGCGCGUAGGCGGCCAUCUAAGUCAGACGUGAAAUCCCCCGGCUUAACCUGGGAACUGCGUCUGAUACUGGAAGGCUUGGGUAUGGGAGAGGGAUGUAGAAUUCCAGGUGUAGCGGUGAAAUGCGUAGAUAUCUGGAGGAAUACCGGUGGCGAAGGCGGCAUCCUGGACCAUUACUGACGCUGAGGCGCGAAAGCUAGGGGAGCAAACGGG